Molecule: microRNA precursor, 192 nt
Filed under: Oryza brachyantha (malo sina)
Lineage: Eukaryota; Viridiplantae; Streptophyta; Magnoliopsida; Poales; Poaceae
Description: MIR812 microRNA precursor family
Rfam family: MIR812 microRNA precursor family
Source: Rfam by way of RNAcentral
AAUAAACUAAAUUUUCACUUUUUACAUAUAAUUUUUGGCUCUUCAUCUUAUUCAAAUUUUUUUGCGAUUGAUAUUUUUAUUUUUAUUACAUGAUAAAAUCAUGAAUAAUACUUUACGUGUGAUUAGUUUUUUUUCUAAUUUCCUAAAUUUUUUUCAAAUAAGAUGGACGGUUAAACGUUAGACAUGAAAACC